AGAACGAACGCUGGCGGCGUGGCUAAGACAUGCAAGUCGAACGGAGUUUCCUGAAGGGCAACUGGAUGGAAACUCAGUGGCGAACGGGUGCGUAACACGUGAGCAAUCUACCUCCAAGUGGGGAAUAGCUCGGCGAAAGCCGGAUUAAUACCGCAUACGGUCCUCCUUCGCAUGAAGGGGCAACCAAAGCCGGGGUCGCAAGACCUGGCGCUAGGAGAGGAGCUCGCGGCCUAUCAGCUAGUUGGCGGGGUAACGCCCACAAGGCUAAGACGGGUAGCUGGUCUGAGAGGAUGAUCAGCCACACUGGAACUGAGACACGGUCCAGACCACCGUACGGGUGCAGCAGUUUCGAAUCAUUCACAAUGGGCGAAAGCCUGAUGGUGCGACGCCGCGGUGGGACGAGGUCUCGGAUUGUAACCCUGUCGACCGGACAAACGUCGU
Molecule: ribosomal RNA, 441 nt
Filed under: uncultured soil bacterium
Lineage: Bacteria
Description: bacterial SSU rRNA
Rfam family: Bacterial small subunit ribosomal RNA
Source: RNAcentral